This 492-nucleotide ribosomal RNA is filed under the name uncultured bacterium. RNAcentral's name for it is "partial 16S ribosomal RNA". It matches the Rfam family "Bacterial small subunit ribosomal RNA", at positions 29 to 507 of the family's 1533-position model. The record is from RNAcentral.
AGUGAACGCUGGCGGUAGGCCUAACACAUGCAAGUCGAACGGCAGCACAGUAAGAGCUUGCUCUUACGGGUGGCGAGUGGCGGACGGGUGAGGAAUACAUCGGAAUCUACUUUUUCGUGGGGGAUAACGUAGGGAAACUUACGCUAAUACCGCAUACGACCUACGGGUGAAAGCAGGGGAUCUUCGGACCUUGCGCGAUUGAAUGAGACGAUGCCGGAUUAGCUAGUUGGGGGGGUAAAGGCCCACCAAGGCGACGAUCCGUAGCUGGUCUGAGAGGAUGAUCAGCCACACUGGAACUGAGACACGGUCCAGACUCCUACGGGAGGCAGCAGUGGGGAAUCUUGGACAAUGGGCGCAAGCCUGAUCCAGCCAUACCGCGUGGGUGAAGAAGGCCUUCGGGUUGUAAAGCCCUUUUGUUGGGAAAGAAAAGCAGCAGGUUAAUACCCCGCUGUUCUGACGGUACCCAAAGAAUAAGCACCGGCUAACUUCGUG